Molecule: long non-coding RNA, 1105 nt
Organism: Galleria mellonella (greater wax moth)
Lineage: Eukaryota; Metazoa; Arthropoda; Insecta; Lepidoptera; Pyralidae
Exons: 2
Source: RefSeq, a predicted model, not a curated record
GCAGUUUUUUAUUUCUUUCCGGAAUAUUUAGUUAUGUAUAUGGAGAAUUUAUUGCCAUAAAACAUUAUUGAUCUAUCAACCAUUAAGGUAACAGAAAAUAUUCAAUACGGAAUCAUCUAAAUUCGUUUAUUUUAUGUAAAUAAAUUAAUUGUACAGGUAAAUACAGAUAGAGAAAGAUGGCAGGUACGUACUGUAAACUUUCUACGUCGAAAUGUAAUUAAACAAAUACCCAGCCAAAGUAUGUUUGUUUUAGCCAAUCAUUAUAGACCAAACAGUGAGGCCUUACUGCUAUCUUGUUAAAAUAAUGUAUUAGAAAUUAUUUUUGACAAAAAUAUAGUCGCAGAGGAUAAUACGUCUUUGAAAAAACAUAAUUCUUAUAUAUUUUGGGAUUCUUCUCAUCAUAUUACACUAUAUUAUGAUGACUUGUUUGGAAACUAGGCGAUUGGUUUGAUUGUGUGGCUCUUAUUAUUGACAUUAAUGUAAAAGUAAAUAUAGUAUUUGUAUUAUAAGUGGAUAUAAUUAAUAAUUAUAUAAAGCGUCUUUAUAAUUGCGGCAUACCAGAUAAAGUCUUAACUUUACGAAGGAAUCACAUCAAGCUUAAGCCGACUAAUUACAAUUAAAUAGCUAUUUUAUUGGCCGUGGACCGUAUUGGUAUUGCAAUUAAGAACGUAUCAAACUACCGGACAUCGUCCGUUCAGAAGCCAAAAACCAUUCGGGUGUCAAAAAUAAAUUUCGUAUCCACGAUUUUCUAAUUAUAAUAAUGUGUGAGUGUAAGCAAUUUGCGUGGGCGAUUGGACAGAGUUGAAAAUAGACGUGUUGGCAUCGAAAGGUCUGCAGUCUGCUCUAUGAUAGUGGGAUGCCUUGUCUGUCACUAAGGUUAUUAUAAUAAUUUUAAUUUACAUUGUAGAUUAAUGCUGAUACAAGCUUAUAUUCAAGAUACGCUAAGAUCCCUGAACUUGCAUGAUUUAUGCACGGUGCGGGAUUUUGUAUGACCGGAAUGAUUGGACAAACUAACGAGGAGACUAAAUGAAAGUAAGCUAAAAAAUGGAGAUAAGAUCAGAUAUGGAUAAAUAGAAACCUAUAUUGAAACUCCAAGAUCACUUAA